This 217-nucleotide long non-coding RNA is filed under the name Helianthus annuus (common sunflower). Its description in RNAcentral is "hypothetical non coding rna". The record is from RNAcentral. Lineage: Eukaryota; Viridiplantae; Streptophyta; Magnoliopsida; Asterales; Asteraceae.
UAAAUCACACAAUGAAUUCACAUUACAUGCUCUAAAUGUAUGAUCUCAAGUGUCACCAAACUGGCAUUUUACCUCUUACAAUAACAUUUGCUGAUAAUUUCAAAAAAAAAUAUGAUAAUAAAGAUGUAAGAAUCACCUGUUAUCAUGGGACUUGAUUCUGAUAGUUUCUCGGUGGCUUCCACAUAGCCUUUGUAGCGUAAACGGUAGGCCAUCAACA